AGAACUGAUAAUAUUUAGAAUCAAAUGAAGGUGUAACGCCCUGAAGGGUUCUCCCUAAUACUCCGACAUGCUUAUAUAUAGCAAGAUAUAUAAGUAUGAAGCUCGGUGAAGUCGGCUAAGAUUUUCCCCUAACAGUUUUAUAACUGAGGAAAUGUGAAUCAGAAAUGAUCAAGGAAUUUAUAGGCCGGGGGUCAAUAA
Molecule: non-coding RNA, 198 nt
Filed under: insect gut metagenome
Source: RNAcentral